RNAcentral lists this ribosomal RNA (460 nucleotides) under uncultured bacterium. Its description in RNAcentral is "bacterial SSU rRNA". It matches the Rfam family "Bacterial small subunit ribosomal RNA", at positions 462 to 920 of the family's 1533-position model. The record is from RNAcentral.
UGUGUGGAUGACGGUACCGGAAUAAGAAGCACCGGCUAACUACGUGCCAGCAGCCGCGGUAAUACGUAGGGUGCGAGCGUUAAUCGGAAUUACUGGGCGUAAAGCGUGCGCAGGCGGUUUAGUAAGACAGGCGUGAAAUCCCCGGGCUCAACCUGGGAACUGCGCUUGUGACUGCUAAGCUAGAGUACGGCAGAGGGGGUGGAAUUCCACGUGUAGCAGUGAAAUGCGUAGAGAUGUGGAGGAACACCGAUGGCGAAGGCAGCCCCCUGGGCCGAUACUGACGCUCAUGCACGAAAGCGUGGGUAGCAAACAGGAUUAGAUACCCUGGUAGUCCACGCCCUAAACGAUGUCAACUAGGUGUUGGGAGGGUAAAACCUUUUAGUACCGGAGCUAACGCGUGAAGUUGACCGCCUGGGGAGUACGGCCGCAAGGUUAAAAACUCAAAGGAAUUGACGGGGAC